GAAACUAACAAGGAUUCCCCUAGUAACGGCGAGUGAAGCGGGAAGAGCACAAAUUUAAAAUCUACCUGGUUUUCAGGUCGAGUUGUAAUUUGAAGAAACGUUUUUGAUAUUUUGGGUUGGGAUAAAUCCUUUGGGAUGAGGUAUCAUGGAGGGUGAGAAUCCCGUGUAUACCAACCACAGGGAUGUUAUUUAAUACGUUUUCUAAGAGUCGAGUUGUUUGGGAAUGCAGCUCUAAAUAGGUGGUAAAUUUCACCUAAUGCUAAAUAUAAGCGAGAGACCGAUAGCGAACAAGUACCGUGAGGGAAAGAUGAAAAGAACUUUGAAAAGAGAGUUAAAUAGUACGUGAAAUUGUUGAAAGGGAAACGAUUGAAGUCAGUCAUGCCGGCGGGAAUCAACUUAGGGGAAACUUUAAGUGCACUUCACGUUUGGCAAGUCAGCGUCGAUUUUGAAUAUCAUAAAAUAAUUGGGGGAAGGUAGCUCUUUCGGGAGUGUUAUAGCCCUUGAUAGGUGUGAUAUUUGGGAUCGAGGAUUGCAACGGAUACCCUUUGGGCUAGCCGCCUGAUCUCUAACUGGUGUUGGGUUAUGGGCAGCAUGCUGAUCAUGAUUUAAUUACUGGUUAAAAGGUUAGAGCGAGUGUAAAUUCGUUAAGGACGCUG
Molecule: ribosomal RNA, 656 nt
Filed under: Dentiscutata heterogama
Lineage: Eukaryota; Fungi; Glomeromycota; Glomeromycetes; Diversisporales; Gigasporaceae
Description: eukaryotic LSU rRNA
Rfam family: Eukaryotic large subunit ribosomal RNA
Source: RNAcentral